GAGAUACCAAAGUGAGGCCUGGAACGCAUCUAGAAUGAGGCUUGGAAUGCAUCACAUGACCCGAAGGCCCUGCGACACCAUGGAAACAACAUUUUUGUGAUCAGCUGUCACCAUCAGAGGGCGCUGCUGCUGUCCACACAACUGUCCUCCAGCGGCCACUACAGGUGAUGUCCCAGAAGCAUGGAGGACUGCAGAAGUGCUAUGCCCUGCGGGCUGCUGUCAGGAGAGAGAUGGCACACAGCGGGCGAUCUUCUCACUCGGGGAGCGUUCCCACAGACCAGAUUUCAAUGUUUAUUCAUUUAGAAAAAAAAAAGGAAAAGGCUUUUAAAGCUCUCAGUCUUGGGGAGCUUCACUUUUAUUUCACAAUAUGGUGCAGCUUUCCUGAUGUUCAGCUCCAGCCCUGGUGUAUAAUUAAAAGUUAAUGGCCGUGUAUUAGGAGUUAUGCUUUGUGAUAUAAAACCAGUAAAACCUUACGCCAUUUCUUUUUCUUUCUUAUCUUUAUUUUACC
This is a long non-coding RNA of Hyla sarda, 508 nucleotides long. RefSeq lists it as uncharacterized. The transcript has 3 exons. The record is from RefSeq and is a predicted model, not a curated record. Lineage: Eukaryota; Metazoa; Chordata; Amphibia; Anura; Hylidae.